UGUCUCCAACCCCUAAACUCCACACAGAAUCUCCUCCCACUGCCUGUGGCCCCCACACUCCUCCAGGGGGCCCCCACCCCUGCCUGUGAGCCCCAUGCUCUUCCAGGGACCACCUACCCCCUGCCUGUGGCACCAACCCCCAACUGUCUCCUACCCCUAAAUUCCACACAGGGACCCCCCCACUCCCUGCUUGUGAUCCCCUCCCUCCACUCAGAAACCCCCAUUGCCUGCCUGUGAUCCCCACUCCCCUAAUGUCUUCAACCCCCACACCCCGCCUAGAGCCCAACACUUUCCCCUGUAUCCCUCCUAUCUGACCCCAGCCCCCACCCGGCCCCCACCCAGAGCACUGUGGCCCCACAACUGCCUUCUGCCCAACAGCCACACAACCUUCCAGCCCCCAUCCUGUGCUGGAAGAGCAGCUGCACAUUCACCACGCUGCCCCUGCUGGCGGCUCGCCCAAUCCACCCAGGGCCUGCCGCACUCUGCCAGCUCAGGUGCUUCUGGGAGUUUCCCAGGAACGACAUCUCCCAGGGACAAGGUCGCCUGGCUAGGUCACUGUCUGGAGGAAGAGCUGGUCAGCCCAGCAGCCAGAGAAUGAAAAGUUACAGUUCUGCGAUCACCAGGAUCUCACCAUCUUGCCGCUUGGGGCUGCAAAAAACCUGGAGCUGGCCCUGGUUGUGAAU
This is a long non-coding RNA of Mauremys reevesii (Reeves's turtle), 683 nucleotides long. RefSeq lists it as uncharacterized. Lineage: Eukaryota; Metazoa; Chordata; Testudines; Geoemydidae. The record is from RefSeq and is a predicted model, not a curated record. The transcript is spliced from 3 exons.